Molecule: transfer RNA, 72 nt
Filed under: Chelonia mydas (Green sea turtle)
Lineage: Eukaryota; Metazoa; Chordata; Testudines; Cheloniidae
Rfam family: tRNA
About the family: Transfer RNA (tRNA) molecules are approximately 80 nucleotides in length. Their secondary structure includes four short double-helical elements and three loops (D, anti-codon, and T loops). Further hydrogen bonds mediate the characteristic L-shaped molecular structure. tRNAs have two regions of fundamental functional importance: the anti-codon, which is responsible for specific mRNA codon recognition, and the 3' end, to which the tRNAs corresponding amino acid is attached (by aminoacyl-tRNA synthetases). tRNAs cope with the degeneracy of the genetic code in two manners: having more than one tRNA (with a specific anti-codon) for a particular amino acid; and 'wobble' base-pairing, i.e. permitting non-standard base-pairing at the 3rd anti-codon position.
Source: Rfam by way of RNAcentral
GGCAGGGUAACCCUGUGGUUAAGGCACUAGACUCAAGUUCCAUAGAUCUGGGUUCAUUUCUCAGUUCUGCCA